AACAAUGACAAGCAGUUUCAUAACCGAAAGUGAAACUCUUAGGAUAGAGAAAGCGAAAGUAUAAGAUUCUCAAAGUGAAAAGGUCUGGACCCUUCUAGAAGAAACUCUGUGCAGCAGGACAUAUAAAAUUGAACUUAACACCUCAUCUCAGAAUAAAGAGAAGCUGUGCAGCAGAUGAAGUUGGAAAUGCAAAAUACACAAGAGCAUAGUCAAUCAAGCACGGAUGAAGUGAAAAAUGUCAAGGUCCCUGAAGAACAGCUGGAAGAUUCCCCUAAUCGAGUUGCUUCAGACUUCUCUACACUUGCUUUGAUACCGAGACUCCUUUAUUGGGUUUACCCUUCAGCUCCUCUCUUAGGAAUGUGGCAGUUGGUCAAAGACAUUGCGAACUGGUUGUGGAGUUUCGUCCGCUCUCCAGUCAAAGUCCAUGUACAGUUUAGUGGCCCCACCCAGAAUGCCCACCAGACAUUUAUUAACAAGCUGCACAUGUCCCUGGAAGAGAGCAGCCUGGAAGACUGCAGUGUGAUCCUGGUCUUCUGGCUGAUCGUCACCCGGAUGGGGACAGAUAUGGAGGCAGCAAUAAGAGAAAUUCCAAGUGACAAACCCGUCAUUCUGGUGCUCAUACACCACAGUUACAACCCAGACCACAUUGAUGACAUUCCGAUCAGAGCACCCAGGAGCAACGUGGUAAAAGUGAUCCAGUGUGUUUUCCAUGAGACAGUUGGACUUCUGGAGUGUGGAUUGAAUCAACGAGCAGUGAGUGGAGUGAGAUCUGAACUGAAACAGUACUGGUCAGUGUACAACAUGUACUACAAAUCGCACAAGUAAAGUAAAAUAGUUCAGUUUCACGUAUCAUAUCAGCUGAACACUUGAAUGUUCUAGUGAAGCAUGUCAUGUUAAAUCAGUCACUCGGUAACUAUAUUAGUGGUUGUGUAGCAGCUAAAGUAGACAUGUGACCUCUGUGCUGUAGGUUAUAAGCCCAGGGUCACUGCAGAUGAACCCUUGAGUAUGGCCUAUACCCUUAAGUUCCUUCAUACAUACAAUAAAUUACGCAUCGUUUCCCUCA
RNAcentral lists this long non-coding RNA (1063 nucleotides) under Scleropages formosus (Asian bonytongue). RNAcentral describes it as "lncRNA (ENSSFOG00015024274.1)". The record is from RNAcentral. Lineage: Eukaryota; Metazoa; Chordata; Actinopteri; Osteoglossiformes; Osteoglossidae.